UAAGCCAUAAACAUUGACAAGCCAUUAUACAAUGCUUUCCGCCAGAGGACUACAAGUGAAAAACUUGAAACUCAAAGGACUUGGCGGUGUCCCAUAUCGACCUAGAGGAGCCUGUCCUAUAAUCGAUACCCCCCGUUCCACCUAACCUCUACUAGCUAUUUCAACCUAUAUACCGCCGUCGACAGUCUACCCCAUGAGGGCUUAAUAGUAGACAAAAUAGCUCACCCGCUAGCACGUCAGGUCAAGGUGUAGUUCAUGUUGAGGAAGUGAUUGGCUACAUUUUUUAGCUUAAAAAAUACGGAAUAUAAAAUGAAACCAUAUAUGAAGGCGAAUUUAGUAGUAAACUUGAUAAGAGUAUCAAUUUUAACAACGCUCUGGGACG
This 382-nucleotide ribosomal RNA is filed under the name Omanosaura cyanura. Its description in RNAcentral is "partial 12S ribosomal RNA". It matches the Rfam family "Bacterial small subunit ribosomal RNA", at positions 796 to 1381 of the family's 1533-position model. Lineage: Eukaryota; Metazoa; Chordata; Lepidosauria; Squamata; Lacertidae. The record is from RNAcentral.